AGGACGAACGCUGGCGGCGCGCUUAACACAUGCAAGUCGAACGUGAAGCUGGAGCUUGCUCCGGUGGAAAGUGGCGAACGGGUGCGUAACACGUGAGCAACCUGCCCCGAAGACUGGGAUAACACCGGGAAACCGGUGCUAAUACCGGAUACCUUCUUCCGAUCGCAUGGUUGGACGAAGAAAUGGAUUCCGCUUCGGGAUGGGCUCGCGGCCUAUCAGCUUGUUGGUGAGGUAACGGCCCACCAAGGCGACGACGGGUAGCUGGUCUGAGAGGACGACCAGCCACACUGGGACUGAGACACGGCCCAGACUCCUACGGGAGGCAGCAGUGGGGAAUCUUGCUCAAUGGGCGAAAGCCUGAAGCAGCGACGCCGCGUGCGGGAUGAAGGCCUUCGGGUUGUAAACCGCUUUCAGCAGGGACGAAAUUGACGGUACCUGCAGAAGAAGGCCGGCCAACUACGUGCCAGCAGCCGCGGUAA
This 479-nucleotide ribosomal RNA is filed under the name uncultured bacterium. RNAcentral's name for it is "SSU rRNA". It matches the Rfam family "Bacterial small subunit ribosomal RNA", at positions 26 to 523 of the family's 1533-position model. The record is from RNAcentral.